This 72-nucleotide transfer RNA is filed under the name Bacilli bacterium. RNAcentral's name for it is "tRNA-Met". It matches the Rfam family "tRNA". From Rfam's summary of the family: Transfer RNA (tRNA) molecules are approximately 80 nucleotides in length. Their secondary structure includes four short double-helical elements and three loops (D, anti-codon, and T loops). Further hydrogen bonds mediate the characteristic L-shaped molecular structure. tRNAs have two regions of fundamental functional importance: the anti-codon, which is responsible for specific mRNA codon recognition, and the 3' end, to which the tRNAs corresponding amino acid is attached (by aminoacyl-tRNA synthetases). tRNAs cope with the degeneracy of the genetic code in two manners: having more than one tRNA (with a specific anti-codon) for a particular amino acid; and 'wobble' base-pairing, i.e. permitting non-standard base-pairing at the 3rd anti-codon position. Lineage: Bacteria; Bacillati; Bacillota; Bacilli. RNAcentral also lists the same sequence under 1 other name. The record is from RNAcentral.
CGUGGGUUGUAGCAGUGGUAGCUUGUUUGUCUCAUAAGCAAACGGUCAUUGGUUCGAGUCCAAUACCCACAA